UGGACCAAUGAUGAUUGGUGGUGUAUGAGUUAUGGAUGAUGAGCAAUACAUAUGAGGUUCAA
Molecule: small nucleolar RNA, 62 nt
Filed under: Canis lupus familiaris (dog)
Lineage: Eukaryota; Metazoa; Chordata; Mammalia; Carnivora; Canidae
Description: Small nucleolar RNA SNORD113/SNORD114 family (multiple genes)
Rfam family: Small nucleolar RNA SNORD113/SNORD114 family
About the family: The imprinted human domain at 14q32 contains two clusters of tandemly repeated small nucleolar RNAs named 14q(I) and 14q(II) snoRNAs. These two clusters are named SNORD113 and SNORD114 respectively in the HGNC approved gene symbol nomenclature. The snoRNAs found in both clusters are clearly related and are represented here by a single family.
Source: Rfam by way of RNAcentral